RNAcentral lists this ribosomal RNA (612 nucleotides) under uncultured Myxococcales bacterium. RNAcentral's name for it is "bacterial SSU rRNA". It matches the Rfam family "Bacterial small subunit ribosomal RNA", at positions 130 to 718 of the family's 1533-position model. The record is from RNAcentral. Lineage: Bacteria; Pseudomonadati; Myxococcota; Myxococcia; Myxococcales.
CUUCCGGCGGGGGGCAACAGUCCGAAAGGAUUGCUAAUACCGCAUACGUCGGCGAGAUCUCCGGAUCUUGUCGGGAAAGAUGGCCUCUCCUUGGAAGCUGUCACCGGAAGAUGAACCUGCGGCCCAUCAGCUUGUUGGUGAGGUAACGGCUCACCAAGGCAAAGACGGGUAGCUGGUCUGAGAGGAUGAUCAGCCACACUGGGACUGCGACACGGCCCAGACUCCUACGGGAGGCAGCAGUGGGGAAUAUUGGGCAAUGGGCGAAAGCCUGACCCAGCCACGCCGCGUGAGUGAUGAAGGCCUUCGGGUCGUAAAGCUCUGUGGGGAGGGACGAAUAAGCCGGGUGCUAAUAUCACCAGGCCCUGACGGUACCUCCUUAGCAAGCACCGGCUAACCAUGUGCCAGCAGCCGCGGUAAUACGUGGGGUGCAAACGUUGCUCGGAAUUAUUGGGCGUAAAGCGCACGUAGGCGGUUUGUUAAGUCGGAUGUGGAAUCCCUCGGCUCAACUGAGGAAGUGCAUCCGAAACUGGCAAGCUUGAGUACGAAAGAGGGUCGCGGAAUUCCCGGUGUAGAGGUGAAAUUCGUAGAUAUCGGGAGGAACACCGGUGGCGA